Molecule: ribosomal RNA, 264 nt
Filed under: uncultured Lysobacterales bacterium
Lineage: Bacteria; Pseudomonadati; Pseudomonadota; Gammaproteobacteria; Lysobacterales
Description: uncultured Xanthomonadales bacterium partial 16S ribosomal RNA
Rfam family: Bacterial small subunit ribosomal RNA
Source: RNAcentral
UACGAAGGGUGCAAGCGUUACUCGGAAUUACUGGGCGUAAAGCGUGCGUAGGUGGUUCGUUAAGUCUGAUGUGAAAGCCCUGGGCUCAACCUGGGAACUGCAUUGGAUACUGGCGAUCUGGAGUGCGGUAGAGGGUAGCGGAAUUCCCGGUGUAGCAGUGAAAUGCGUAGAUAUCGGGAAGGAACAUCCGUGGCGAAGGCGGCUACCUGGACCAGCACUGACACUGAGGCACGAAAGCGUGGGGAGCUCAACAGGAUUAGAUAC